This 207-nucleotide ribosomal RNA is filed under the name uncultured bacterium. RNAcentral's name for it is "partial 16S ribosomal RNA". It matches the Rfam family "Bacterial small subunit ribosomal RNA", at positions 568 to 774 of the family's 1533-position model. The record is from RNAcentral.
CGCGUAGGCGGCUUUGUAAGUCGGAUGUGAAAGCCCCGGGCUUAACCUGGGAAUUGCGUUCGAUACUGCAGAGCUAGAGUAUGGGAGAGGGAAGUGGAAUUUCCGGUGUAGCGGUGAAAUGCGUAGAUAUCGGAAGGAACACCAGUGGCGAAGGCGACUUCCUGGCCCAAUACUGACGCUGAGGUGCGAAAGCGUGGGGAGCAAACA